UCUGCCUGUCUCCUGUCAUAUAGUUCUUCUGACAGGCAAGGUUUAUUAGCUUUUCCAACACUGCUCUCUCAGCAGCAUUUUUUUUUCCACCUGCUCAUAUCCCUCAGCCGCCUGGCUCUCUCACAGCUUCUGAUAUCUUUGUGUUCCCUAGAGGCUUUGUUUAGCUAAAACAGCUUCCUCCAGAAACCACUUCCAGCAAUUCCUUGCCCUUCCUCUCUCUGUGUUCGGUACAAUGUUGCAGAAGGAAAAAAAGUUAGCUUUGCUUUGUGUCAUCUUGCUUAGACAACACUGAGAGAAUGACUGACCCAAUACAGCUUUUGGACAGUCAUGGACCCACUUGGGAAGGGGAAUAUUGAAUAUCAUCCAUGACAGACACGCUCCUUUGGCUACGUUUAAAAAACAGAAUCAGCAAGGAGAUUAAAAACAACAGCCAAGGAUGAGAUCAAAU
Long non-coding RNA from Crotalus tigris (Tiger rattlesnake), 448 nucleotides. RefSeq lists it as uncharacterized. The transcript has 3 exons. NCBI's taxonomy places the organism in Eukaryota, Metazoa, Chordata, Lepidosauria, Squamata, Viperidae. The record is from RefSeq and is a predicted model, not a curated record.